This 868-nucleotide long non-coding RNA is filed under the name Nicotiana benthamiana. Its description in RNAcentral is "long non-coding RNA (NBEN_LNC012230)". The record is from RNAcentral. Lineage: Eukaryota; Viridiplantae; Streptophyta; Magnoliopsida; Solanales; Solanaceae.
UUAAUAAGAUAGGUAGCAGUUAAUAGACAAUCACCCCAGAAAGAAAUGGGUAAACCAGACUGGAAAAGUAAAGCUCUACAAGUUUCAAGAAGAGAUCUAUGUUUCCUCUCAACAACACCAUUCUGUUGGGGAGUAUGUGGGCAAGAGGUUAAAGCUCUACAGGUUUCAAGAAGAGUUCUAUGUUUCCUCUCAACAACACCAUUCUGUUGGGGAGUAUGUGGGCAAGUGGUUUGGUGUAUGAUGCCAUGUUGGUUAAAAAGGAUGUACCAGCAAUGCUAGAUCCCAAUUCUAAAGCAUUCUCACUCCUAACAGUUUGUACAUUUGCAUUGAAUUGGGUCUUGACCAUACAGAGAAACGAUUGAAGCAUACAGAAAGCAUAGGUUUUAGACCCUAACAAAUGUGUCCAGGUUGCCCUAGAAAAGUCAUCAACUAUUGUGAGAAAAUAUCUAGAACCAGAAGAGGUGGGAUUACGAUAAGGUCCCCAAGUAUAAACAUGAAUCAACUGAAAAGGUUUAGAUGUACUAGUAGUGCUUUCAGGAAAGGGAAGUCUAGUUUGCCUGGCCAUAGGACAGGUAGAGCAUUGAAAAGGCUGUUUAGAAGCAAAUGGAAAAGGUAAAGCAGAAAUGUGUUUCAUGUUCACAAAAGGUAUAUGGCCCAACCUUAAAUGCCAAAUGUAAUUCAUGUCUGUGGUAACAGUAUUAUUACACAUGGGACUGUUUACAUUCAAAGGCAAACCAACAGCUUGAUUAAUAGAAUAGGCAUGUUUACAAGAAUUAGAAGAAGAAGAACAUACAGAAACAGAAGAACCACAAUUUGAAGAAGAUGAAGGUGGCGCCCAAACAAGCUUGUACAGACCAGCCUCCUCUUU